Cercocebus atys (sooty mangabey) is the source of this 105-nucleotide small nuclear RNA. NCBI's taxonomy places the organism in Eukaryota, Metazoa, Chordata, Mammalia, Primates, Cercopithecidae. The record is from Ensembl.
GUGCUCAUUUCUGCAGCACAUAUACUAAAAUUUUGAAGGUUACGGAGAUUAGCAUGGCCACUGGGCAAGGAUGACACACAAAUUCAUGAAGCGUUCCAUAUUGGG